Molecule: ribosomal RNA, 468 nt
Filed under: uncultured bacterium
Lineage: Bacteria
Description: partial 16S ribosomal RNA
Rfam family: Bacterial small subunit ribosomal RNA
Source: RNAcentral
GACGAACGCUGGCGGCGUGCUUAACACAUGCAAGUCGAACGGAAAGGCCCUGCUUUUGUGGGGUGCCCGAGUGGCGAACGGGUGCGUAACACGUGAGUAACCUGCCCUAGACUUUGGGAUAAGUUCAGGAAACUAGGGUUACUACAGGAUAGCAUCUCCCGUUGCAUGGUGGGGGUUGGAAAGUUUCGGCGGUUGGGGAUGGACUCGCGGCUUAUCAGCUUGUUGGUGGGGUAGUGGCUUACCAAGGCUUUGACGGGUAGCCGGCCUGUGAGGGUGACCGGCCACAUUGGGACUGAGAUACGGCCCAGACUCCUACGGGAGGCAGCAGUGGGGAAUAUUGCACAAUGGGCGGAAGCCUGAUGCAGCAACGCCGCGUGCGGGAUGACGGCCUUCGGGUUGUAAACCGCUUUCGCCUGUGACGAAGCGUGAGUGACGGUAAUGGGUAAAGAAGCACCGGCUAACUACGUG